GACGAACGCUGGCGGCGUGCUUAACACAUGCAAGUCGAACGGUGAAGCGCCUUCCUUUUUGGUGGGUGGGGAUGAGUGGCGAACGGGUGAGUAACACGUGAGUAACCUGCCCCCUGCUUCGGGAUAACCGCAUGAAAGUGUUGCUAAUACGGGAUAUUCUGGGUCUGUCGCAGGAUGGGUCUGGGAAAGAUAUUGGUUCGGUGGGGGGUGGGCUCGCGGCCUAUCAGCUUGUUGGGGGGGUGAGGGCCUACCAAGGCGGUGACGGGUAGCCGGCCGGAGAGGGUGGACGGCCCCGCUGGGGCUGAGCCACGGACACGCCUCCUACGGGAGGCAGCAGUGGGGAAUAGUGCACAGUGGGAGCAAGCCUGAUGCAGCGCCGCCGCGUGAGGGAUGGAGGCCUUCGGGUUGUGAACCUCUUUCGCCAGUGAAGCAGGCCUGCCUCGUUUGUGGGUGGGUUGACGGUAGCUGGAUAAGAAGCGCCGGCUAACUACGUG
RNAcentral lists this ribosomal RNA (494 nucleotides) under uncultured bacterium. Its description in RNAcentral is "partial 16S ribosomal RNA". It matches the Rfam family "Bacterial small subunit ribosomal RNA", at positions 28 to 507 of the family's 1533-position model. The record is from RNAcentral.